This 1550-nucleotide long non-coding RNA is filed under the name Musa acuminata (dwarf banana). RNAcentral's name for it is "long non-coding RNA (MACU_LNC002795)". Lineage: Eukaryota; Viridiplantae; Streptophyta; Magnoliopsida; Zingiberales; Musaceae. The record is from RNAcentral.
GAGCGACUAACGUCGAUCUGGAAGACAUUCUCGAGCACAUAUUCUCCAGGGAUCUUUGGAAGGUCUGGUGUCUGAUUGUCAAAUAGAAGACCUUUCAAGUCAUUUUGAUACUGGCCCUGUUGCACACAAUCGAGUAACAUAAUCAGCUCAAGCCCCUUCAAGUAGGUUUGGAUAUCAUUGAUUAACCUUUUUCUUUACCUGCAGUGACCAGUAAUCGAAGCUGAUAUAUGUCAUUGGGUAGCGCCAAAAUGGUUUUGGAAUAUCAUUAGGGAGUCUGAAAUAGCCAGACACUAGCAUAAAAAUUCCCUGUUCCACGGAGCAACUGUGAGGUAUGGUUCUUAUCUCAUUGCCUCAUGUCAAAAUCUUCCUACUGUAAGCCCAAAUGGCACUUCAAUAUGCAGGGAUAUGUAAGUUAAACAGGUUUCCAGUUUUUAGCACAUGUGAAUUUGUUAAAUUUGAUUCCGAUUAUGAUGAAAUUACAUGAUACAUAAGGAUUCUACAUAGAUAAUUUUAGGAAAAGAUAUCACUAUUCUUAUCAGCAUCAUCUUAUUUCAAUAGCAUAUCUAUCUAUGUUUGAACUGUCAGAAUGCUGCUCAUCUAACUAUUAAUGCAAUUCUACAGUAUCUGUAUAGACUUGAAGAUUGAAUUAACUCGCUUAUGCAUGUAAAUAGAACCACCAUAGUGUUUAUAAUCCUACUGCAACUUUUCUAGAUAACAAACAAUGAGGCUUUUGUCUUUUGGCUUUGUGAAAAUAACUUGCAGCGGUUAUCCAAUUGCUUCCUACAGUCAUGGAGUUCUUCGGAGAUUAUAAAUGAAGCAUCAUCAUCAGAAAAGGUUUAGAUGUGUUGGUGUUGCUUACCUGAAUCCCAGCUCCUAUUAUGAUUCCCAUGAGAAAAUUGGGGACGACACUGGCUAUGGCCAUCAUCAAGCUCUCAACCACAGUCACACUGGCGUAGAGGCACAACACAAAGAACAGGUAAUGCAUGAAACCUGGAUGAAGUUUCACCAUAAAAUAGCAUAUGGUUCCAGAGGCAAAGGAUAUCAUGAUCAGAAAAGGCAUUGCAGACAGUGUGUUGCUGAUAACAAAUGCUAACACGCCAUAAUGUCCGUUGAGCCGCUCUCUUUGGAAAACCUGCAUGACAUACAGCAAGUUGUAGAAUCACAGCCUGAGAUGAAGAUUUGAUUUUGGUAUAACCAAAAAAGAGGGAGAUCAAAUGAACCUUCAUAUCUUCCACAAAUGAUGGGAAUCCUCCAAUAGACAUGAAUGUGACGAAGCCAAAGACGAAAGAAGCGCAUGCUCCCCUUGCCUGUCCAAGAAAAAAAAUUAAGGAGAGAAAAAUCAGGAAAUUAGCUUAAGCUAUUUAUCUAUCCUUCCAGCUAACUGUUAACUCUCUUGAUGUAGGUCACGCAGGAGCAGACAAGGGAGCUGUUCCAGUCAGAUGGCAAAGUUAUCUGCCAUGAGCAAGAAGGUGGGAAGAAUACCAGAAUCGCACUGUAUCCAGUCCCGACAUUCAGGUAUAUAGUUCCGAUGCAGAUGGUGACCACAAUAU